Long non-coding RNA from Lolium rigidum, 934 nucleotides. RefSeq lists it as uncharacterized. The record is from RefSeq and is a predicted model, not a curated record. The transcript is spliced from 2 exons. NCBI's taxonomy places the organism in Eukaryota, Viridiplantae, Streptophyta, Magnoliopsida, Poales, Poaceae.
GGCCUGAUUAUAUUGAGAUAUCAAGAAAUAAUAUUUCAGCCUGCACAACACAUACUAAACUGUCAAUUUACUUGGUUGAUUUCUUCCUUCUAUUGCAGUACAAAGUAGUGAAAUUGUGUUGCCAAUUGUAGAUAUACAGAACUUAUGCUUUUCGAUUCCAGAGAUUAAUUGAGACUGAGUAUGAACAACGAGUUCAUGUUAUAUCAUUCAUGCUUUUUCUGAAUAUAACUGAAACUAUCUGUUCUAACUUGUGUGAACACAUGUUUUUCUGAAUAUAACUGAACAUUUGUGUCGUAACUGCUUACGUCCCUGUGUUUUAAGUUGCAAUAUGCACCACUCCUCCAUUUCAGUGACAUAGUAGAUGUUUACUGCUCUAUUAGAAAAACAUAAGGAAUUUGCUCAGUGCCAUGCACAUGUAGUUGGAACUCUUUUGUUACUGUUUUUUGCACUACCUACUUGUUUAUGUGCCAUAUGCAGGUUGUUAGAACGAAUUCUUUGAAACAAUGUAACGUGUUUCCUUUUCCUUCUGUAUGCACUUAUUAUCAUUUGCUUCAGCUAUAAUUUUGGAUGAUCAGUCAUACUAACUCAGUGUCUCAUCACGACUCGCAUUGUUGGAAGGCUGCGUUGCACCUCGCCGAAAGAUUCUCAGCCUAAUGGAGGUCGUUGAGAUGGAGGUUGUCGAGCUCAAGACUGUCCAGAUCUUCCCGUUGUCAUGUUGAAGCUAUGUUCCAGAAGUUUCACCUUUUGACGGUGCGACUACCUAUUAGAAUUAGAUUUUUUGUGUUUAGUGUCCUAAAGACCGAAUUGAAGCGAUCUUAUUUAGAGGUUACUUUUGUUAAUUUUAGAUUUAUUUCUAUUUGUCGCCGAAAAACUGUAAGAGUGCUAAUAUAUUUCGCCAUUUUCAUAAUUGCAUGUAAGCAUUGUUAUUCUGUUC